Non-coding RNA from Lolium perenne, 2023 nucleotides. The record is from RefSeq and is a predicted model, not a curated record. NCBI's taxonomy places the organism in Eukaryota, Viridiplantae, Streptophyta, Magnoliopsida, Poales, Poaceae.
UGUAUGCAUUGGUCGUUGAUGCAAUUUUAAAUAUGGAGCAAUUUGCUCUGCCAUGUUAGUUUCUUGGCAAAAUUAGGAAAAGUUUGAGUUUGAGACUAUGGGCUAUCUGAAAAGCUAGAUACAUUAUUUUCCUACUUGUCUUUAUCAUGUAUAGGGGCACUGGUUGUUUCCUACUUUGUUGCAAAUUUUAAAAUGACAUGUAUUCGGAUAUCAUUAGUUUUACUUUCUCAUUUUGACUAUGUGCAGUACUACUACUUACAUUCAGCCAGGAUAGCCUUAAAAUUUUAUAAUAUGAUCAACUUGGGGAGGAGGCUGAUUGUUCAUUCAAUGGAUUUGUGUUGAUGUGUUUCUGUUGCGGGCAUGACAAUGUGGUCGGUGUAGUGGAUGAUCUUCUAUCACUGGUAGGUGAUAAUACUUUGGGACACUACUUUGCCUCCACACAAGAUUUUGAUCUUCCGAAUAAAUUAGGGGAGGUAGUUUAGUGCUAUGUGUGCUUGUGUAUUAUGUCUGGUCCAGUUCUGAUAAGAUUACAUACUUUUUCUUAGCUUACAAUUCCAAGAAAAAAUAGUGUUUGUGAGUGAUUAAGCGACUUGCUUUCAUUCCAUUCCGUCUUCUUAUACCUUCCUUUUUGUUGUUACAUACUCUUACCUUGGCCUCAUGCAUGAACCCUGUUGAGGACGAAGAAUGCGGCAAAUAAGUUUAGAUGAUUUGUAGCUCCUAGGUUCUCGUUGAGAAUUGAUGUUUUUUUUAUUUUGUUUGGUUUUUGUUACCAUGGAGUCUUGAAGGUUAGAGCAAUUAUGACCCUGGAGGUUCAGAGGUUAGUUUCUUACUACUGAAAGCUUAAUUCUGUUUCAAACAGUAACAUAUGGGGGAAUUUUGUAGCAACAUUUUUGAAACAUGGUGGAAUUAAAGGGUGGGGCUAUAGUUGAAACCUACCUCAUUUUCAUGUAAUAUUAGUGGAUAUUAUCUUUCAUGUUGGAUGUAUAAGACCGAACCGAGCUAUCAGUACUUUGGAUUAAUUAUCCUCUUCUACAAUGCAAGACAUGCAUCUUGUAAUCUGAAUAUCAUAUUGUUUAACCAUUGAUGUUACGUGCAAAUGCAAUAUUUCCUAUGUGAACUGUCAACAAACUAGGUCGACCCUUGCAGUAUAUGUGCAUUAGAUCAUCAAAUUCUGAUGUGAACUAUUCUUCUGUUGGCACGUGGCAUUGUGAGCUCACUCUCUCGAUCACUUGUGGGUCUAUUGGGUUGCGAGCAAAAUUACUUUUCCAACAGCGUACGUUUUGGGGAAAAGAGAAAUAUGGGUGAUCAUCUAGCCGCUGCACUGGUGACGAGCCGGCGGUGUCUCAAGAACUUCCAGCAAAGACGGUCCUGAGGCGUCCGAACAAUCUACGGUACUCCUCGACCCUGGAGCCCCUGGAUGUACAAAGAGUUAGUUCAAGUUUGGGAUGAUAUACCGUGUCGUUUUGAAAAUUAGUAGAUUCAGUUAGUUCAGGUAUGUGAUGAUCUGUGAGCAGUGGAAUUGUUAUGCACCUUCGACGUUAAAUCCAAAUGCUAAUCCAACCACCGUAAUGUAAUUAAAACAAAUAGUACGAUAGUCUAAAAGUUGCUUUGGUUUCCUACCAUACCAACAUUAUAACUUUAUUCAUUUAUUAUCAGUUACUGAAUGGGAUGUCACCAUUUUCUUAGGUUACUCAUUGGCUCAGGGCCUCCAUACUGUGCAUUGUGCCCACGAAGGAUUUGGGCAUUGGAAAAAUCAAUUACUGGAUUUUCCAAAGGGCAGUUCUGAAACGCUACAUGGAGAGUGAUGCUCGGAGUAGAUAGUUUCAUAUUUAUUCUGCAAGGAACACAAUUAGUUCAACAAGAGGAGGAAAGUAACAGUCUACAUCUCAAAUGGUUCCAGUAAAGUUGUAGGUAAGCCUGGCGACCUAUUUGACCUUGUUCAUUUAUAAGGCUAGAACGUUAUUUGAUCUACUGUCUUUGGCCAUGUAUGGGCCAUGAAUAUUAGAUUAUCCCACUUAAGAUU